Molecule: ribosomal RNA, 465 nt
Filed under: Vreelandella stevensii
Lineage: Bacteria; Pseudomonadati; Pseudomonadota; Gammaproteobacteria; Oceanospirillales; Halomonadaceae
Description: partial 16S ribosomal RNA
Rfam family: Bacterial small subunit ribosomal RNA
Source: RNAcentral
CCUACGGGUGGCUGCAGUGGGGAAUAUUGGACAAUGGGCGAAAGCCUGAUCCAGCCAUGCCGCGUGUGUGAAGAAGGCCUUCGGGUUGUAAAGCACUUUCAGUGGGGAAGAAAGCCUUGGGGCUAAUACCCUCGAGGAAGGACAUCACCCACAGAAGAAGCACCGGCUAACUCCGUGCCAGCAGCCGCGGUAAUACGGAGGGUGCGAGCGUUAAUCGGAAUUACUGGGCGUAAAGCGCGCGUAGGCGGUCUGAUAAGCCGGUUGUGAAAGCCCCGGGCUCAACCUGGGAACGGCAUCCGGAACUGUCAGGCUAGAGUGCAGGAGAGGAAGGUAGAAUUCCCGGUGUAGCGGUGAAAUGCGUAGAGAUCGGGAGGAAUACCAGAGGCGAAGGCGGCCUUCUGGACUGACACUGACGCUGAGGUGCGAAAGCGUGGGUAGCAAACAGGAUUAGAUACCCCAGUAGUC